Long non-coding RNA from Brienomyrus brachyistius, 535 nucleotides. RefSeq lists it as uncharacterized. The transcript is spliced from 3 exons. The record is from RefSeq and is a predicted model, not a curated record. Lineage: Eukaryota; Metazoa; Chordata; Actinopteri; Osteoglossiformes; Mormyridae.
UGUCGUUUAUUUAAUCGUGUAGCAAUACUGCCACUUGUCAUAUUAUUAAUUGCGUAUUUAUAUAAUAUUAACCAAUGACCAAUCUCUGUAUCUUACUAGCAUCUUUUGCGCAUUUGUCUUUGUAUCAGCCGUAGCGGUCUGCAGGGGGAAUCGCAGAAGCUGGAGUUUCUUAGAGCGCUGCAUGGGUUUGGACAAACAUUAGGGAGAAGCAAACACAAACGAUUCGUGAGUGCAUCGUACGUGUUGUAAGAGCAAGUGAAGCUGAAAGACAUUGACAGUGAAGUGAUGGCUCCCUCUAUCAAUCUCUUCACCUUCCUCGUCCUGUCCCUGGUGGGGGGCAGCUCUUCAUGGGACGAAGCUUCGCCUUGCGGAUCCGGCUCCAUCCUGACAAGGCCCUACACGGCCUUGUGUGAGCUGGAUGCGGUGUGGGGCUUGGUGGUGGUGGUGGCGGCAGCGGCGGCGGCCCUCGCCUCGCUGAUCCUGCUCCUGGUGGUACUGUGUCGCCUGCGGAAGAUCACAGAGGCUGAGGAGCGCA